CCUGGUAUGGGAAACAUGUUGUUCUGUUUAGUGAAAGGUAUGCAAUGUGCAGUCCCUGAUAAGGAGGAAGUGUUUAACAUACUGUUCUUGUGUAAUGAAAAUACUACUGAAAUUCUAAAGAAUAAACCACAAAACUUCUGUCAUUAUCAGAGGAAUUGAUGCCUCCUGCUGGUUAUUCUUAGAUCUGCAUCAGAACAUGAGAAAUCAAAUCAAAUCAGAGUUUAUUGGUUGCGUACGUAGAUUUGCAAGUGUUAUAGUAGGUGCAGUGAAAUGCUUAUGUCACUGGCUCCAACAGGGCAGUAGAAUGUCUCUCAAACACAAUACAAAUACACAAAUAAUCAAUAAAUCAAAACAAUAAAUCAACAACUGUCAGAGCUAGUCCAAUUUAUGAUCCAAAGAUACUGUAUAUUAGCGUGAGCAGUUACAGAAUAUAAAUACGUGGUGUUUGUAUAGACAGUAUAUCAUUUAGAAAAGAAAAUGGUAUGUACAAUAGUAGGUAUAUUAGGAUGGGCUAUGUGGAGAAUACAGUAUAUACAUACACAGUGAGUAAGCAACAGUAUAUAAACAGUAUAUGAAGUUACCAGUGUUCAAUGUCUCACAUGGGGCAUUAGUCUCAAGGUGCAGAGCUGAGUAUCGGGCAGGUAGCCGACUAGUGAUGGCUGUUCAACAGUGUGAUGGUCUGGUGAUAGCUGUCUCUCAGUCCCGGCUGUGAUGUACCUACAUGUACCUUCUCCGUUCGACAGUAUCAGAGUGAACAGACCGUGGCUCGGGUGACAUGACAAAUUUCUUCAGCCACUUGAAGUUGAAGAGGCGCUGUUGCGCCUUCUUCACCACAGUGUCGGUGUGGUGGCACCAUUCAGGUCCUCAAUGAUGUGCAAGCCAAGGAACUUGAAGCUUUUUAACCUCUAGACUAUGGCCCCUCGAUGUGGAUGGGGACGUGCUACCUCUUCUGUCUCAUGUAGUCCACGAUCAGCUCCUUUUGCUUUGUUGACGUUGAUGGAGGGGUUAUUUUCCUGGCAACACUUCGCCAGGGCUCUAACCUCCUCCUUGUUGUUCUGGUCAUCAGGCCUACCACUGUCGUGUCGUCAGCAAACUUGAUGAUUUAGUUAGAGUCUUGAUCGGCCAGACAGUCAUGGGUGUACAGGGAGUACAUGAGGGGGAUGAGCAAGCACUGUGUUGAGGCUCAGUAUGGCAGAAGUGUUGUUGCCUGUCCUCACCACCUGAUGUUGGCCUGUCAAGAAGUCUAGGACCCAGUUGCACAGGGAUGAGUUCAGACCCAGGGCCCUGAGCUUAGUGACGAGCUUGGAGGGCACUAUGGUGUUGAAAACUGAGCUGUAGUCGAUGAGCAGCGUUCUCACACAGGUAUUCCUCUUGUCCAGGUGGGAUAGGGCGGUGUGCAGUGCUUAAGCGAUUUAAUCGUACAUGGAUCUGUUGGGGUGGUAUGCAAAUUGUAGGGGGUCUAGGGUGUCGUUUAAGGUGAAGGUUGUAUGGUCCUUGACUCUCAAAGCACUUCAUGAUGACAAAGGUGAGUUCUACAGGGUGAUAGUCAUUUAGUUCAGUUACCUUAGCUUGCAUGGGUAAUGUGAGGUUUUUUGUAUGAGUAGGCCCAGUGACCUAGUAUGAGUGCCAGUCGGUUUGUGCCAUCAUGUCAACUGCCCGUCACUCAUUGUUUGGCUUGACAAUGAGCAAUGGAGAUGGAUAAGCACAAACAGAUCUGGGAACAGGCUACUAGUUCACCUUUAGUAUCAAAACUCUUCAGCAUAAUACUAUUACGUCUUAGACAUCAGAAUGACCAAAGAAGAAAACACAAAACUUUAAGGAGAAAUACAUUUCUUUUUUACAAUAAAAAAAACUAAAUGUUUACAAAUAUUAUAGCACCUUUCAUGUUGACAUAGGCUACAGUAUUUUUAAAGGAAGAGUCCACACAGAGAGUGGAGCGUGUUUGCCAGUAGAAGCCCAUAGCUGCUCAUUAGUCUUACAUCAUUCACUUUGUUUUUGUUAUUGGUUUUACACAAAUAUUUCUAAUAUGUAAAGUAUAACAAUGCAACCAUCUUUUCUUCAUAUAAGUUAAAAAGUCAGUUAAAAAUCAAAAUAAAAUGUAAAAACAACAAAAAUAUCAGAAAAACAACAAAAAUGUCCCUUUAGGGAAAAUAUUGCCCAACUAUACAACCAAGUGUGCAUGUCAAUAGUUUCAAUUCGUCUCUUCUCCUCAUCUCAUCUCCUUCCCUGAUCUGAACAGUUAGGGUAGGUCAAAGCAAUAUGAUGGAAUCCUGCUCGGAAUUUCUUCUCACCUUUCCCAUCAGAGGAGAUGAAGGAAAGCAGACGAAAAUGUGAAUCCUCUUCACACUACUGACACACACAAGUCUCUCUCUGUAGCUCGGCUGCUACUGGUCUCCCCUAUGAUUGGCUGAGCCCUUCCCGACACAGUCUUUGAUCUCUCCCUUCAGCUCGGCUAGCUGUGUAGAGUGACUGGCCAGCGUUCCAUUCACCUGUGACAGGUACGAGUCAGAGUGUCUCUCCAGCUCUGCCCUGAUCCUCUCCAGGUGGUCCGCCAGCUCCCCCAGGCUGCCACACUGUCCCUCCACCUGGGACACGCGACUAUCCACCUCCUUCACCUCCCUCUGAACCCCAAGGGCCGUGCUCCAGCAGCCCUGCAGCUCUCCGGCCAGCCUCCUCCUCAGGCCCACCAGUUCCCCCUUCAGCUGGGCUAGUCGGCGCUCCCCGGCCCCUAGGAGGGAGGCCUGGCGCCCCACCAGCUGGGUGAUGCCCUGGACCUCGGUGGCUAGCUGGUUCUCCCUGUGUGUCCACGUGGCAUUAGCAUGGCCCACUCCCUUAGUGAACAAGCUAACAGAGUCCCUCAGACCCUUCAGGGUGCGGUUGACAGAGUUGACAUUGAUCUUGAGGAGGGUGAUUUCUCCCUGGACAGAGCCUUCCUCGUCCUCCUGGGCGAUACGGUUCAGAAGGGUCUGCAGCGUGGUGUUGAGAUGGUCUAGCUGGUCGGCGUGGGAGUCCAGACGACCUGACACCUUCUUCUCCACCUCCUCACACUCCUCCUCCGCUAGGCCUGUCCCUGCGCCUCCUUCAGGGGGAGUUGCGGGGGAGCAGGAGGAGGUGCAGAGGAGCUCCAGGUCUGUGAGCUGUUUCUGGAUGCCGUCCAGGUCUCCCUCCACUCUCCUCCUGACUGACUCAAUCUCUGUCUCCAGGGCGGGCACCACCUGACCCUCCAGCAGAGCUGGGGCAGUGGCGUUUCUCAGCUCUUCCACGGCCACAAACACCCUGUUCUCCAGGAUCUUCAGCUUGUCCUCCAGCAGGGUCUUGAAGCUGUCCAGUGACUGCUGAAUCUGCUCCUGUCCGUUCAUGUGUUCAUUAUGACACUGUCUCUGGACCUCUCCUAUCCUCUCCUCACAGUGGUUCUCCAGGCCAGACAGACGCCUCUCGAAGCCGUCCAGGAUCUCAGCGCGGACACCGGCAAGCUUAGCAUCCAGCAGCUCCAUGAUGGAGGGAGAGCCCGAUCCAGGGAUGGGCCUGCCGGUCGCAGCCUCCAACAUCCUCUUCAGCUGCCAGUCAUGGCCCAGAACCAUGCCCUAAUGAAUGAGAAUGACAAUGGUUUGGUUUUAGGUAGCACU
RNAcentral lists this long non-coding RNA (3626 nucleotides) under Salmo salar (Atlantic salmon). RNAcentral describes it as "lncRNA (ENSSSAG00000100558.1)". The record is from RNAcentral. Lineage: Eukaryota; Metazoa; Chordata; Actinopteri; Salmoniformes; Salmonidae.